RNAcentral lists this non-coding RNA (201 nucleotides) under Flavihumibacter petaseus. RNAcentral also lists the same sequence under 1 other name. The record is from RNAcentral. Lineage: Bacteria; Pseudomonadati; Bacteroidota; Chitinophagia; Chitinophagales; Chitinophagaceae.
UCUUCGCGCCGUUAUCAGGGUUCCGAGGAAAAAUAAUUUCCAGGAUUAAAAGGGAAGUCCGGUUGAAUUCCGGCGCUAUCCCCGUAGCUGUAAGUUCAGGAUCAUGCAUCCAGGCGUCAACCCUCCAGCCACUGUCCGCAAAGGACGGGAAGGCCGUUGACAGGAACAAGCCAGAAGACCUGCCUUGAAACAUUUUAACCA